GGAAAUGCUGCUGCUCAUGCAGUGAACAAAUCUUCCGGGAUGAUCGAACAUUACCUGUACAAACAACGAGUAUUUCGCCACUAGCGCGGGGAAGGCUACAGCUAUAGACUAAGGAGGCUGGACCAUGAAUACAGGCUGAUGUUGAGUAGCGGUGACUGUAAGACACAGCAUCAGACUUUGUAAGAACCUUAGCAGACUUGAUGUUCUUAGCAGCUGUAUGCACCCUAACAUUAGCUCCGAAGAGGAAUACCGAGGAGGAUGUCUUGUUCUGGGGUAGACCAAUGCAUCACUACGCGAUGAAUUAUGGUUGCAGUUUGGACACACCUGGAUCUCCAGAUAGCGACAAGAGUCAGUUGCAAAUGCCUACGGCAGUGAUAAUAUCCGGUCUACCCAUGGGAAGUAUAGCUGUAAAGAUGCAUCUUGUGCGUGAAGGUCGACAGCAGCGCCCUCCAAUGAUUGAAUGGGAAUAACAAAACACGUGUGGCUCUGGGUUCGGACUCCAGUGACCCUGCAUGAGGAUGUGCACAUGACUAUGAAGAACCAGGUCUAACGUCCACCCUCUACAACUGAAUCCUACUGAACAAAUGAAAAAUCCAGUUAACUCCUCCCCUCCUUUUUAGUUUCUUAAAGUUUCAACUUUUGAGUUUGGACGUUCUUGUGCAUAAGGAAAAAAUAGUGAUUUUCUAACAUAGUUUUUGAUUAGAAAACAUAUACCUUGUCAAAAGUGCGUUACUCAAAUUAGUAAAAAUUAUUUCAUAUUAAUAUAUUUGUACUAAUAUUUUUUGUUGUGACACAUAUUUCCCUUAA
Limulus polyphemus (Atlantic horseshoe crab) is the source of this 807-nucleotide long non-coding RNA. RefSeq lists it as uncharacterized. NCBI's taxonomy places the organism in Eukaryota, Metazoa, Arthropoda, Merostomata, Xiphosura, Limulidae. The transcript is spliced from 3 exons. The record is from RefSeq and is a predicted model, not a curated record.